This 493-nucleotide long non-coding RNA is filed under the name Pan troglodytes (chimpanzee). RNAcentral's name for it is "long non-coding RNA NONPTRT003389". Lineage: Eukaryota; Metazoa; Chordata; Mammalia; Primates; Hominidae. The record is from RNAcentral.
UUUACAUUUCUCUAGGAAAAUAAAGGAAAGUCUGGAGUGUUUCCCUGUUAAAUUGAAUAACUUGAUCCACACACUUGCACAAAUGUCAGCCAUAAGCCCUGCCAGAUCUACUUCACAGACUUUUCCUCAGGAAUCCUGUUUGCUGAGUACAACUAGGUCGAUUGAAAGAGCAACAAUUUUAGGGUUCAGCAAGAAAUCCAGUAAUCUGUAUCUGAUCCAGGUGACACACAGCAACAACGAAACAAGCCUGACAGAAAAAUCAUUUGAGCAGUUUUCAAAACUUCACAGCCAACUUCAGAAGCAGUUUGCAUCACUGACUCUCCCAGAGUUUCCUCAUUGGUGGCACCUACCUUUUACAAAUUCAGAUCACAGAAGAUUCAGAGAUCUAAAUCAUUACAUGGAACAGAUAUUAAAUGGAUCACAUGAAGUUACAAACAGUGAUUGUGUACUUAGCUUUUUCCUCUCUGAGGCUGUGCAACAAACAGUUGAAGAA